Long non-coding RNA from Seriola aureovittata, 1234 nucleotides. RefSeq lists it as uncharacterized. The record is from RefSeq and is a predicted model, not a curated record. NCBI's taxonomy places the organism in Eukaryota, Metazoa, Chordata, Actinopteri, Carangiformes, Carangidae. The transcript has 4 exons.
AAUAAAGUCAUAAUUUUACAAGAAAAAAAGUCAUAAAAUUAUGAAAAUUAAGUCGUAAUCUUACAGGAAAAAAAAUCCUAAUGUUAUGAGAAUAAAGUUGUAAUUUUACAAGAAAAAAUAUUAUAUUAUAUAAAUAAUAUUACUUUUUUCUUGAUAUAUGUCUGUCCUGUGGCUGUGUACCUGUGUUCAUCGAUGUGUGUUGUUGUUAAUGAAGAAAAUAAAUGGAGUCUUUUAAUGAACUGGCUAAAAGAAACAGGUGCAGCAGGCUGAGAGGGUUUUGUUCUCUUUCCUGUUUCUUUUCCCGCCAACUGCUGCUCCACGCUCUAGUCCACAAGAUGGCGGCAAGCGCCUGUAAGCUGGUGUGUCGCUACCCGAUCUGCCAAUAAAACCGGAAGAAAAACAGCAGUGUGGGGACACAGCGGAGGGACGGAAACAUGUUUAUUCAUUUUUUUGAAAGCGAUUGGAUCAACAACAUUGUAAUGGAGAAGUUAAACCAGAAGGAGGCGGCAAUGUAUCAAAAUGGAUGCCGACUGUUGUAAAAACCGGAAGUAGACGAAGAAGAGCACACCUGCCUGCGUAGUCUGUUUGGAUGGCGGGAGUUACAAAAGUCUUUCUAUUAAAAGUCAAACAUGUAUGAAGAGAGUUGCUAUAAAACAUCCGUGUUGAAACAGGACUGAGAGCUGAGGAAGGUCAGGACUCACGAAGAAGAAACCGUCUGACUCAGGCAGAGUAAAGGUCAGCGCACUGGUGAGGACUUCAUAACGAUUUAUAGGACUUCCUGAAGACUGAAGACCAGAACUAUCAGACGGGGUUUCCCUCCUUCCAUCCAGGGGUUUACAUCAGUAGAUCAGGACUUCACUGUCUCAUCAUCUUCCUGGUUUGUGAUGCAGAGAGAAACUGAGGAGCUGUGGACGCAGCCUGAGGAGGAAGAGGAGGAUGAUGAAGAUGGGGAGGAUCGGCCUUCACAGCUGAGCUCUAUCUAAACUGAUCAAUAACUUGUUUCCUCCGAUCACUGUUGUCCGCCUGUCUCAUUCUCGUGGACACGAUAUCUCAGUAACACCUGGAGGGAACUUCUACAGAUUUGGAACAAACAUUCACUUGGACUUGAGGAUGAACUGAUUCGAUUUUGGUGGUCAAAGGUCAAAGGUCAAGGUAAGAAAACACUUUUUAGUCAUAACUCAAGACAGCAAUGGUUAAUGUUUGACAAACAGGAAGUGACCUGGAGGGGGCGGUG